Molecule: non-coding RNA, 75 nt
Organism: Streptomyces hygroscopicus subsp. jinggangensis 5008
Lineage: Bacteria; Bacillati; Actinomycetota; Actinomycetes; Kitasatosporales; Streptomycetaceae
Source: Rfam
CUUGACCGAGCCGAGCCACAGCGGGCGGUCCUCGGUGUGCUCGGCGCCGUAGGUGGCGAUCAGCGCCUGGGCCUC